AUUAGGACAUUAGAAAUCCUAUUCCAAGUAGGACUCUAAUUUAAUUUGAAAUCCUAAUCCAAUUAGGACUCCAUGAUUCCCACUCCAAGUAGGACUCAUGAUCAAGUCCAAUUAAUUAAAUCCAAUUAAUUAAAUUAAAUUACAAUCCGAUUGCAAUUAUUCCUUCUUCUAGCCACUAACUCUUAGCGGGUUUUUAUUUAUCAAUCUAAUUGAUUAUUUGUGAUUCCUAAUCACAUUCAACCAUUGGAUCGGUCAAUACCUCUAAUGUGUGUGACCCCAUAGGUUCCAUUCUGACUGGUAGUGAGAUAUAUUAUGAUCUCUAUCACAAUAUCAUUGAAAACUCCUUUCAAUGGGUUGAAAC
RNAcentral lists this long non-coding RNA (361 nucleotides) under Phoenix dactylifera (date palm). RNAcentral's name for it is "long non-coding RNA (PDAC_LNC019820)". Lineage: Eukaryota; Viridiplantae; Streptophyta; Magnoliopsida; Arecales; Arecaceae. The record is from RNAcentral.